RNAcentral lists this ribosomal RNA (479 nucleotides) under uncultured bacterium. RNAcentral's name for it is "partial 16S ribosomal RNA". It matches the Rfam family "Bacterial small subunit ribosomal RNA", at positions 28 to 507 of the family's 1533-position model. The record is from RNAcentral.
GAUGAACGCUAGCGGGAGGCCUAACACAUGCAAGCCGAGCGGUAUUUGUUCUUCGGAACAGAGAGAGCGGCGCACGGGUGCGGAACACGUGUGCAACCUGCCUUUAUCUGGGGGAUAGCCUUUCGAAAGGAAGAUUAAUACCCCAUAAUAUAUUGAGUGGCAUCAUUUGAUAUUGAAAACUCCGGUGGAUAGAGAUGGGCACGCGCAAGAUUAGAUAGUUGGUGAGGUAACGGCUCACCAAGUCAAUGAUCUUUAGGGGGCCUGAGAGGGUGAUCCCCCACACUGGUACUGAGACACGGACCAGACUCCUACGGGAGGAAGCAGUGAGGAAUAUUGGACAAUGGGUUAGCGCCUGAUCCAGCCAUCCCGCGUGAAGGACGACGGCCCUAUGGGUUGUAAACUUCUUUUGUAUAGGGAUAAACCUACUCUCGUGAGAGUAGCUGAAGGUACUAUACGAAUAAGCACCGGCUAACUCCGUG